This 447-nucleotide ribosomal RNA is filed under the name uncultured microorganism. RNAcentral describes it as "bacterial SSU rRNA". It matches the Rfam family "Archaeal small subunit ribosomal RNA", at positions 330 to 735 of the family's 1478-position model. The record is from RNAcentral.
GUGCACCAGGCGAGAAACUCCGCAAUGCUCGAAAGAGUGACGGGGGAGUUCCAAGUGCCUACGCUUAGCGUAGGCUGUUCAGAUGCCUAAAAAGACAUCUGGAGUAAGGGCUGGGUAAGACGGGUACCAUCUGCAGUGGUAAUGAAAAACUUAGCUACUGCAAGGCAUAAGCCGCCGCGGUAAUACCCGCAGCCCGAGUGGUAGUCGCUUUUAUUGGGCCUAAAGCGUCCGUAGCCGGUCUGGUAAAUGCCUGGGGUAAAUCGUGGGGCCGUAACCUCACGAAUUCCGGGUAGGACUGCCAGACUUGGGACCGGUUGAGGGAGAGGGUACUCCAGGGGUAGGGGUGAAAUACCUGUAAUCCUUGGAGGACCACCGGUGGCGAAAGCGCUCUCCUAGGACGGGUCCGACGUGAGGGACGAAAGCCAGGGGAGCAAACCGGAUUAGAUA